ACAAAAAACUGGCCCAAAGGUGGACAGAAGGCAGUACAGAUGGACACACAAAAGCCAUCGGGCUGCCUCAGAAACUGUGACGAAGCAUUACCCUACAUACAGAAAGGAGCCAAGUGGAGCUGUUCAUGGGUCAUGCAAACAGUUUCAUAAGCGGGCUUUUAGCACUUUUUACAACUAUGUCUCUGAAUACGUCUGCCAAAGUUGUGCUCAAAGAAGCAUGUAGUAGUGCAUUUCAUUGUUCAUUUGGCAUGCUGCAGAAGGUAUGACUCAUACAUCUGCAAGAUAACGCAACACAGUGCAUACACACAAACUAGCCCACAUACACUCUGGUUUUGUGGCUUAGUUGUAAAUUGUUUACUCUGACCUUGCACAACAAUUAAUUACUAAAUGACAUGAAAGCUUUGCCAUCUAUGCAGGUAGCGUUCUAAGUAUAUACUGGCAAUAAAUGUGCAAAGUUCAAAGAGUGCACUGGUCACAAUAUUCUUGUAAACAUAUAGAGAGGGAAGACCAGGGUUGUUGGAAGCUCAUACACGGUGAGGUAAGGACCGCGACUCCAGAAGCUUUCUGUUUUCUUGCCUUUGCACACGAGGUGGCAUAGUGAAAUUGUUCAGGCUGCAGCUAUGUCUUGUCACUCAGCAGUGUUCAACAAGCUCUGUGUCAGAACAUGUUGCAGGGAAAACUUAAGCAACAUCCUCAUUACGUUCUUUACGUUUAGUUGACCAUAUUUUAUUUGUUUUGUCCAUGGAAGUUGCAUCAAAAUUUUUCCUUUAUACUUUACCGAUGACCUCACUCAUAUCUUCAGUGAUUUUCGGUAUACCUUGGGAUAUACGUUCACGGACCGCACACCUGCGCAUGAUCGGAUGAAGGUCUUUUAAAAAGUACACUGGGGUAUUGCAGCACCACUCAUAUUGGCAAAACUGGCAGAAAGAGUUCAGAGGUUUAAAGGCUGCAAAGGGGGGAUGCUGUUAUGGCCACCAGUGCAGCUUGUUCCAAGACUGAGUUUAACUGCUGGACAACAAGGCGUAGCUCCUAUAUAAACAGUGCUUGAAAGUGGCUUAGAGACAGAUAGGAAGAGGGGGGAGGACUUGGAAUAUUGGUUUAUUUGUUGCCGACCAUUAACUUCCAAGAACAACAUGUUCGCGAGGAUGUAUAUUGCUAAAGAACUGAUCACCCUUCACUAACUUGCUGCCAACAUAUGCUGCAACUUCCAUCUGCUUAGGUGGGAACACUUCUAUGCACCUUUAUUAGCUGCAAGUCCAAGUAAACUCUUUACACUCAUUAAUUCACACAUUGUUUGGAACAUCUUUGAAUGUGCAGGCUGGCUCAACAGAAAGAAAUCUGCGAAAUGUGGAAAGGGAGGAUAUAACGUGAACCUAGCACUGGUAAACUUUUGGCCUUGUUGGUGUAACAUUUUCAUGAAGCUCAGCGUAGCACUUCAAAUCACAAGAAUGGGACAAGGUUGCGUAUGUUCGACCUGUCCCAUCUUCUUCAUUUAAGUGCCGCAAUUAGCUUUAGAAACAAGUCAUGUGCCCUUUGUGCCUUUGCUGCAAACUUCAUUCUUGUGUUCUUUGUGUACAGUUCAGUUCAACCGGACUCCUGUUCAAUUUGGUGUUUUGUACACAACAAACAGGAGCUUUAGGGAGCUAUCUAUGAAUGACUGCAUUCAUUCCAAAAAUCAUGCUACUUGUGCAAAACAUAUAGUAUGGUGUAAUCAUUCUAUGAACCCUGUGUUCACUUGCAAAUGAAGGUGUGCCCAUAAACUGAAUUAACUUCGUGUCCAGGCAACAAAACUCUCCGACAAACAUUGCAAAUAACUCACAUUCACAAGCACGCAGAACAUAAAGGAAAUCCUCCAUUGCUAUAUUUUGCAAGCAGGCUGCAAGGCACAGCUGUGGUGUGGCGUAGUAUGUUGUGUGGAAAAAUACAGCAGGCUGUUGUGCAGAACAAUACAGCAGACUGUUGUGUCGAUUGACACAAACAUUUUUGUAUUAGUUGCGAUAACGUAUAGAAUACACACGAACGCCUUGUUCGAAGGAAAUUGUCGUAUUUUGAUCAAGGAAUAAUAUAUGUCGCCUUAUUAGAGUGGCGGGUUCUGUGGUAACUGUGCUGAAGCAUGACUUCCGGGAAGAGGCUACGUCUUAAGAAGCUAGUUGUAUUCUUGCUCACGGAAUUGCUCGGCACCGCUAUAUCUUCGGCAUCCUCUGUGAAGGAGGAUCCUUAUUUUUUACAUUGUACAAAGGAACUGGACUUCCUAUGAAUAACUUUGUAUGUUUACUUUUUACAGCAUGUUCAUACAAGUUGCAAGAAAAUCGUGUUAUUGCAAAGAUUCAAUUAAAGUAUAAAAAAAGCUUCAGAAGAAA
Molecule: long non-coding RNA, 2360 nt
Filed under: Rhipicephalus microplus (southern cattle tick)
Lineage: Eukaryota; Metazoa; Arthropoda; Arachnida; Ixodida; Ixodidae
Description: uncharacterized LOC119172483
Source: RNAcentral